CGGAGGAGUAGGGUGCGCACCAAGGAAUGCGCCAGGUCACUGUGAGGAGCAGCCGGGGAAAGCAACGAGGACGCUGCAGAAUGGGAGGGUGAGUGGGGUUAGCCAGACAAGGAGAGGCAGGAAAGGCAUCCCAAGCAGAGGGAACAGCAUGUGCAAAGGGCCUAAUGUAGGAAGGAAAUAAAAGAAGUCCUCAUGCCUGAAACCCAGAGGAAAGGAACGUGGCCCAGAAUGAGAGCCACAAGAAGUCAGUGGGGCCCGGGGAGCCCUGAAGCCUUCGGUCAGGAGUUUUGCCUUUAUCUGAAGAGCAAUGGGGAGCCAUUGAAAGUUUGAAACAGAGGAGAGAUGUCACCACAACUUUGUUUUGAAAGAUCAUACUGGAGGCAGCAGAGAGACAGGAGAGGGACACUGCAGAGCUGGUGUGGGAACCAAGCAUUUGGUGCCACUGCCUCCGAGAAGGAAGGAUGCUCCAGGAAGCAAAAGAAAACCAGAGUCAGUUCUUGGCUUUUGGGUUUCAAAAGUCUUGUCCUUACAGAGGGGAAGAGAACUCAAGGAGAGCAGAGCUGGAAGCAGCUCUGAUGAAGAGGAAAGCUUCCCAGAAAACUUGCCCUCCCACCUUGUCCAUCCCUGAGAAGGCCGGAGCACUCGGACCAGACAUCCUCCGAGCCCCGUGCUGGGGUUCCCUAGAGCCACGCUGCAUUUGUGUGAAGGCAAUGACCCCCCGCAGUUUGAUGCACAGGCCAAUCCCCUGGGAUCUUCUUAGAGCGGCUUUCUGACCAGCAGGUCUGCAGUGGGCACAGAGAUUCACAUUUCUAAUAAACCCCCAGGGGAAGCCAGAGGCUGCCAGUCCAGCGACUACACUUUGAGUAGCAGGGUUCUAGAAGAUGCUAAGGAAAGACCUAGAAUGCAGUGGCAGAAUCACAGCGGUUUGUCGACAGGCCCGAGGGCUGGCUGAAGGGUAAACGCCACCUCACCGGGGGCUUCUGUUAGAACUGUCUUUCAGGAAAACCAAAUAGCUUCAGAGGAUGGAGGAAAGCUCUUUUUUUACAGCAGAAUGCAAGCUAAUGAAAUGUCGAAGGAAUGACAGAAUUGGACAAGCACCGCUUUACAGCCCCCAGGAAACGACUGACUCAGUCGGGGAGCUUCAACUUGGGGACCGGGGGAUGGAGUGAAAACCACAAUGAGAGCGACCUCGCAGCCCCCAGGCUGGCUCCAGUAAAAAGGACGCAGAGAGGAGAAUCGGAACCUUCAGACGCUGCUGGCAGGAAGGUGAAAUGGUGCAGCUGAUUUGGGAAAACAGUACAGCAGGUCUUCCACGGGACGCCUGGGCUGGCCUCUGUAGGUCAGCGCCGUGGAAGUAGUGGGCAGGGUGGUCACUGCUGGAGGUUCGAAGAGACUCGAGACACAACGACAAAAUGCAACGACUCAAUGAAGGAACCCAACGUGAAACAGCUGCUCUAACAGAUAUCUGGGGACAACUGGGGGACUGGAAUUCAGAUUGCCUCUUAGACGCUCUGCUCGGCUGGAAAUGGCCCCCAAAGCCGUCCGCACCCUCAUCCCCAGGACCCGUGAGUACGUUCCCGUCCGUGCAGAAGUGACUUUGCAGGUGUGGAGAGGGGCCCUGAGGUGGGAGAUUGUCCUGGUUCAGCCUACCCACAAGGGUCCUGCUGAGAGGGCAGCAGGAGGGGCCGAGAGAAGGAGGAGAUGUGUCAACAGAAGCAGGUCAGAGAGACGUGACCUUCCUGGCUUUGAGGGUCAGGAAAGGCAGCCGUGAGCCAAGGAAUGCAGUGCCUCCAGCAGCCGGAAAAAGACAAGGAAAUACAUUCUCCCCAGAGCCUCCAGCAGGAACCAGCCCUGCUGACACCGUGAUUUUAGCCUCUGAGACCCGUUUCAGGCUUCUGACCUCCCGAACUGUAAGGUAAUAAAUCUGUGUUGUUCCAAGUCACUAAAUCUAUGGCCGUUUGUGACAGUGGCCAUAGGAAAAUAACACAGAUGCUAUCUGGGAAUUAUUGUUCAUUUGUUGGGGUGUGAUGACGGCACCGCAUUUAGCAGGAGAAUGCCCUCAUCCCGAGAAGAUGCAGACCACAGCAUUUAGGGGGGAAGUGUCGUUACUCUCUACAGAGGAAGCAAGUAAAGCAAAAGUCAGCAACGCCCGGUUCUGCUGGUUCUACGCUACUGUUUCUACCUGCUUAAACUUCGC
Equus caballus (horse) is the source of this 2197-nucleotide long non-coding RNA. The record is from Ensembl. NCBI's taxonomy places the organism in Eukaryota, Metazoa, Chordata, Mammalia, Perissodactyla, Equidae.